GAGAGGUGGCCGAGCGGAUUAAGGCGCACGCCUGGAGAGCGUGUGUCCCGAGUGGAUCGGGACCGCGGGUUCGAAUCCCGCCCUCUC
This 87-nucleotide transfer RNA is filed under the name Kiritimatiellia bacterium. RNAcentral describes it as "Kiritimatiellae bacterium (marine metagenome) tRNA-Ser". It matches the Rfam family "tRNA". Rfam says of the family: Transfer RNA (tRNA) molecules are approximately 80 nucleotides in length. Lineage: Bacteria; Pseudomonadati; Kiritimatiellota; Kiritimatiellia. The record is from RNAcentral.